UUUAUUUCCUUGUUGGGAUCAUCAGGCUUUUGCUCUCCAGACACCUUAUUUGUUUAUAGUUUCUGCAAAGGUUUGGAUGAUAAAUACAGUCUCGGUAAAUCUCCAGCAGCAGUUGUUCAAAAUAGCAUUGAACGUUGGGUUUUUGUUCACAGGCCCCUCACAAUAUGAAGAACUCGAGGCUUUUGCUUUUUACUUCUCUGACUCUGAUUCUCCACCUCUGUUCACAAAGCCUUUGAACUGAUGCUAACAUCCUAUUCAAAAUACACUUUCAAAAUGCACUUUUAAUCUUAUAUUUAAUAGGUGAUAACAUUUAAAACCAUGUUAACGUUUUCUAAUUAUAAAAUGCUUAUUGUAAUAUAUAAAUGUAUACCAAGGAAUUUGUAACUUAUUUAUAUAACAUAUAAAAAUGUUCAUUAUAGAAUACAUGAGGGAUAUCAAAAAAAUAUAAAGAAGAAAAUUAAUGUCACUUGUAUCCCACCACCCAGAGGACAGCCCCAGGAAAGUAGGGACAUUCCUUUUAGCUUUUCUUCUACAAAUGCAUUUACUCCAACGCACUCCUGUGAAGACACAACUAUUAACUUGUGCACCUCAUCUAUAAGGUAAGUCCAUAGAUAUUUUUAAAAAUAAAUUGCAAUUUUGGGUUUCGCAGGCUAACAUGCAGCCUGAAGAGCAACAGGGACUCAGGCCAGCUCAGCUGCAAUGCCGACCCUCCCACACCUGUGAAAUCAUCCAGAAGGUGCAAAUCUUGGGGAUAUUCCAUGACCUCCUCAUGGCCUUUGACCCUGAGGGCUGGAAUGGGUUUAGGAUUAAAAUGCCGAGAUCAGCUCAGACUUUGUCUCUCCACACUCUGACAGAACCUACAUCAUAAAGGCAGGAUGUAGGGACUGGAGAAAACACCCCAGAUACUGUUUCUGGAGUAUGGAGGGGGCGUCUGGCAGCCCUCCCUCCCUGGCCAGAGCCCUUAGGGCUGGCAUCAGCACUAGGCCCUCGCUCAGCAGCCUCUUGUAUGUCAACAGGAGAUUGCACGGCCAGAAAGAGGAGGAGUGGCUUGACCCAGAAAGGCCAGUUCCUGCCACAGACAGCGUCUCAAGAGCAGCUAUUACAGAUCUAAAAUUAUCAUUUUGGGCAUGGGCCUGAACACGAACUGACUUACAGCAAAUGUACUGUAUAAGAAGCAGAGGUAUCAAUCAAUAACCUUGAGAAAUAUCUUACAACGAAUACUUGAUGGAGAUUAUCUGGUAACAACAGCCCCUUCUAAAAUCUUCUAAACAAAGAGUUUGGAGUCUUCCAGAGGUUGAACUUUGGGACACCCAUUUCUCCUCGUGACUGGCAGCUCCAAACUCUAUUUUCUAAGGAAACAUUUAAGUUGACCAAGCUGACUUGACCUUGGGGUGAGGACAGUGAACUUCUUCUCUUUGGGCAUGUGGCCUUGGUGGCAUCACCACUUUCCUAAAGGGUCAUUGUGGUAGCUUAAAUUGGCCACUUGGGUACUUACAACUACAAAAAACCCAAAUGCCAAAAACUUUUUUUUUUCCCCAAGGAGCCAGUUGUUAAACAUUUACUACAAACCACUGGAGUCAGCCCAACAGACCAAUGAAUCAGUUCCUGGUGUCCUUGACAAAACACUGGUGCCCCCAAGCUGCCAACAGCCUCUGAGGCCCCUCCCCCACCACCCUCUGAGACCCACCACCAGUUCCUGCUGCUCUGUCUUAGCCAGCUCUGAAUAUGCUUUGAUGAACAGGCUGGCUCUCACCGGAGCAGACUUUAUCCUCCUCCUCUGCCCCAGCUGUGCUGAGACUUGGCCCUGCUGUAGGCCUGGGAGCAGGGACGGGUAGUGAGGGCAGGUCUUGAGGAGAACAAAGAACAUCUUGCAGGGAGCCCGCCCCAGGUGAAGUGUCACACAGGGACAAUCAGUUCUCUGGCAAGCGGGAAGGGAGUGCCUUUGCUGCCUUGGAGGCUCCCAGGGAAUUUGGGGGUUGAGACUCUCAGCUCACCUACCCAGUUGUCCACACCCAGUCUUAGGGCCAUUCCCUAUCUGGCUCUGGACUUUGACAUGGCUGUGGUUUUGGUCUCCUCCACAGCUCCGCGACUCUGUCAUGUGCUAGGCCUGAUUUCCAACAGUGAUUUCUCCUACCUGGUGACACAGAGACCUGACUCUGCAGACCUCCCAGUCUGGCCCUCAGGCUUUCAGACCUGUCCAAAGUUGUCAUCAAACUGUCCUAAGCCCACCACUUUCUUUCUUCAAAGUGUCCAGCUCCAACUAGGGAGCCACCCUUCUCCAUAAUCAUGAUCAUUGUCACCUACUCAUGAAACACCCCGUGGGCUGCACCUUGUCACAGCUGACCACAGCUGGAAAUUCCUUUCUGUACAAGACCAGAUAGUAAGUGAUUUUUGCUUUGUGGGCCUUUGUAAUCUCCACGGCAUAUUCUUUUGACUUUGCCUCCCUCCCUGUCCCUCUAUCCCAUAGACCACAGGCCAGAUUUGGCUUGAAGGCCAUAGCAUGCUGGCCUCUGAUCAUUACAAUCCCUCGUAUCUCUAGGAAUGGGGACCCUGUGGCUUUGAGACAAGUGAGCAGUUCAAUUCUAAAGUGAAAUCCUGUGUGAGGGUCCACUUUCAAGAACUAUUUCCAGUACCCAAUAUCUUAGUUUAGGUUCCCUAGAAACAGAGCCAGGUGUAGACUUAAGAACAAAACCUGUAGGGGAUAGGGGAUAUAGGCAAUCCCAGGACAGUAAAGUGGAGAAGAAAGAAAAAAAUGCACAUGAAUUCUCUUGCUGGCCACACUCAGCAGGUGCACAUCCUCAGCCCCAUGGACUUCUCAGGACCUGCCAAGUGAAAAACCAUGCCUUGGAUCUUUGCCCAACCAAGGGCAAAGGGCAGGGAAGUGGCCAGCUGGCUCUCUCCUGCCCCUGCCCCCCACACUGAGGGACUUUGGGAAGAACCCCAAAAGCACCUACAAUGGUGACCUUCUUGGGCUCUAAGUGACAGCCACCUGGGCUCCCAUGCCUGGCAAACCCAGGACUAUCUAGGACCCAGCCCCUCUCCAGGUGUGUGCACUGGAGCACAGUCUGCCACCUGCUGAAGGAGAGCUCAGGGACAGGGCUCCAUUCUCAUCUGCUUGUGAUCUGAAAGACUCAAACAAUCAAGAUGAGCCUCCCAGAGUGGACGCCCAGCCACCAGAGUCGUCUUCCGGAAUCCUGUUUUAAUAUCAUCUUCAUCUUCACUGCAUGAGUCCUUCCCAGCAGAUUCACAGCACGGACUGCAGAGGUGAGAAUGGAAGGCUCUAUCCUCAAAGCUCCCUUGCUAGGGACCUCCUGGUUCCAGUCCUCCCCUACCCCCUCCUCCUUAUGACUCCUGGGUGUCUCCCUAUUCUUCCUGCCCCACAUCCCCACCGCCCACACAACCACUCCCCAGCACUCCCUCACCUACAGCUGUCAUGGGCCCCUUUGCCCGUCCUGGGUCCACCAGCCUGCCAUCACACCCCGUUCACACACACACAGCCAGCAUGUGGGUGUACGUGGGGGUCUGCAUGGGAAGUACAGUCUCUGAGUGUCCCCAAGACCUGGACCACCUUCUGUAGCUCUUUAUUUCUGGCUCUUCCCUUAAGGCUAGGGACACUCUAGCCUGGAAAAUCUGCUCCAGCCCUGGAUGGAAAAGCCAAGGAUGCUGCCUACUCAGAGGGCCCAACCUUCAGUAGAUCACUCAGCAUCCAGAGCCCAGAGCAUUGCUGGGGAUUCUCCCUGGACUUUCAUACAAGCUAAUCCAACAAGCUCUCUCAGCGUGGCCACAGUCUUGAUGGGGAUACCCAGGUUUGUACCCAAGGUUGGGCCUCCCCUGGGAUGGCUGUGCCAUAUCCUUCUGAGCACCUGCUCUGAGAGGUGGGCGGGACGUCCGCCCAUCGGUGUCAGUCAUCCCAGACUAUUGCUCCACAGCUGGGUCCUGUGUUGAUCUCCCAUGCCGGCCAUUGGCUUCAUUCAGCAGCAUCAAUAUCACCCUUGUGCAAACAGGCCAUCCGCACUUUUGAAGAGUCCCCUGGUGCUGGUGGCAGCAGGCCAGAAGGAUCCCAUUUGUCCUUCUGUGCACAGAAUGGUCCCACCCACCCAUGAUCUCCUCCCUGUAACAAGGCCUGGAGCAGGUGGGCAUCUCCCAUUUCCCAUUCCUCCUCUUCAUAGGGCUCCAUCUGCUGAGGAGGAGCAGAAGGAUGGGGACACCGUCUCUCAUGAUGGAACCUCCGCAGGCCUCAAGGCUGCUGCUGCCACAGCUGUUGGAGCAAGACAAGGAUGUCCACUCUGACCACUUCUAUUGACACUGGAUAGUGCUCCUAGUCCUAAGACUUGCUAACCAAGUCCUCAGUUGCCCCAGAUGUCCUUCGCAAAGGGGUCAUGAAGACAUGGACA
This is a long non-coding RNA of Nycticebus coucang (slow loris), 4394 nucleotides long. RefSeq lists it as uncharacterized. The transcript is spliced from 3 exons. The record is from RefSeq and is a predicted model, not a curated record. NCBI's taxonomy places the organism in Eukaryota, Metazoa, Chordata, Mammalia, Primates, Lorisidae.